Molecule: ribosomal RNA, 248 nt
Filed under: uncultured bacterium
Lineage: Bacteria
Description: partial 16S ribosomal RNA
Rfam family: Bacterial small subunit ribosomal RNA
Source: RNAcentral
CGGGUGAGUACAACAUAGGAAAUCUGCCUUAGGGUGGGGGACAACAGAGGGAAACUUUUGCUAAUACCCCAUAUGAGCUUGGUUGAAAUACCAAUCUUGAAAGUUCCGGCGCCCUAAGAUGAGCCUGUGCCUGAUUAGCUAGUUGGUGGUGUAAUGGACUACCAAGGCAACGAUCAGUAGCUGGUUUGAGAGGAUGAUCAGCCACAAUGGGACUGAGACACGGCCCAUACUCCUACGGGAGGCAGCAG